GAGUGCUAAACAGGUUUGGGUCAGGCUCGUGACGUUAAACAAGCGCUACUUGGGAGGUAACCUAGUUGAUUGUUUUGUUUUUUAAUCCUGUGCAUGCAUCUGAGAGGGGAAGGCAUAUAUUUGAAAAAUUGAAGGUUGAAAUUGAGUGCUAUAAGGAAAGAUUACUCAAAAGAAAGCAAAAGAAGAAGAAGUGAAAUUUACUGCAGACCGCUGAGCAGUUGCGGCGCUGAGGGUCUCGGUUUUUCUUAAAAGCUGAGCGGUUUUCCAAGUUUUUCACUUUGAAACCCUUCUUUGCAUUUCGCCUGAGCGGUCUCCCUACGCCCUAGUACUCUCCUUUCACUUUUAAGAGCUUUUUAGAGAUUUCCUCACUUUCUCAUCACCCACUCACCAAAAAUUCAAUUUUCUACCAUUCCUUUGUCAAAGUUUGGGGUUUUUGGUUGAGGGACUUGCAAUGGAGAGGACAUUCAUCAUCAAUUGAUCAAUUUUUCUGCAAGCAUUCACAAUCUCCACUCAAGUAAGUAUGCAAAUUCAUGUU
This 535-nucleotide long non-coding RNA is filed under the name Vigna radiata. RNAcentral describes it as "long non-coding RNA (VRAD_LNC005343)". The record is from RNAcentral. Lineage: Eukaryota; Viridiplantae; Streptophyta; Magnoliopsida; Fabales; Fabaceae.